RNAcentral lists this ribosomal RNA (559 nucleotides) under uncultured Glomus. RNAcentral describes it as "SSU rRNA". It matches the Rfam family "Eukaryotic small subunit ribosomal RNA", at positions 546 to 1106 of the family's 1831-position model. Lineage: Eukaryota; Fungi; Glomeromycota; Glomeromycetes; Glomerales; Glomeraceae. The record is from RNAcentral.
AAUUGGAGGGCAAGUCUGGUGCCAGCAGCCGCGGUAAUUCCAGCUCCAAUAGCGUAUAUUAAAGUUGUUGCAGUUAAAAAGCUCGUAGUUGAAUUUCGGGGUUAGUAGGCUGGUCAUGCCUCUGGUAUGUACUGGUCUUACUGACUUCUCCUUUCUGAAGAACUGUAAUGCCAUUAAUUUGGUGUUGCAGGGAAUCAGGACUGUUACUUUGAAAAAAUUAGAGUGUUUAAAGCAGGCUCGCGCUUGAAUACAUUAGCAUGGAAUAAUGAAAUAGGACGUUCGAUCCUAUUUUGUUGGUUUCUAGGAUUGACGUAAUGAUUAAUAGGGAUAGUUGGGGGCAUUAGUAUUCAAUUGUCAGAGGUGAAAUUCUUGGAUUUAUUGAAGACUAACUACUGCGAAAGCAUUUGCCAAGGAUGUUUUCAUUAAUCAAGAACGAAAGUUAGGGGAUCGAAGACGAUCAGAUACCGUCGUAGUCUUAACCAUAAACUAUGCCGACUAGGGAUCGGAUGAUGUUAAUUUUUUAAUGACUCAUUCGGCGCCUUACGGGAAACCAAAGUGU